GGCUUCGGGUACGGGCAGACCUCCAGGAGCACUCUGAUGUCACCGCAGCAGCUGUGCACCAAGCCUGCCAUCCGAAUAAGGAAUAUAAUGGAUAAACAGGACCACAGAUUGGGGAUAGAUAUGUGAGGGCGGAGGACUACGUCAGAUUUGGUGGACUGCGAUGAUGACCAGCAUUUUUUUUAUUAGGGCUGUGGGUAACCUCUACUGGUACUUGGGGGUUGAUAAUCCAAAUGAUUGGUCAUAACCGUGAAGACAUAAUUAUACAAAAGGCGCAGAAAUUCGACACAGUCUAUUGAUCCGGAGUACAAUUUAAGACAAGACGAUAAAGCAGAAGAAUUCUGAUACUGUAGCAGAGGCUUAACAGGCGGCAUUAAUAUUCAGGGCAGGACUGCGGUGAAUGACUGUCUGAUCACAGACCUGCAAGUGCACAGAGUGAAUGGAGAUGUGUGUUCACAUUAACAGCUGCUCCGAGCUUCUUUAUCCGUAUAGCCCUCUGCUCCGUCUUCGUCCUCACCUCAUACCUCCUCUGUAUACAAAUACUAGGGGUUACUGAAAAAUGUAUGUACCGUAUUUACAUGGAUAAUAUCUGCUUGGUGUACACCAAUACAUGGCACUACUACAUUAUACUACU
Hyla sarda is the source of this 631-nucleotide long non-coding RNA. RefSeq lists it as uncharacterized. The transcript has 3 exons. The record is from RefSeq and is a predicted model, not a curated record. NCBI's taxonomy places the organism in Eukaryota, Metazoa, Chordata, Amphibia, Anura, Hylidae.